GUGUUCAUUUUAGCAGCACAUGUACUAAAAUUCAAAUGAUACAGAGAAGAUUAACAUAGCUCCUGUGCAAGGAUAACAUGCAAAUUCAUGAAGCACUUCCACAUUAA
This is a small nuclear RNA of Microcebus murinus (gray mouse lemur), 107 nucleotides long. The record is from Ensembl. NCBI's taxonomy places the organism in Eukaryota, Metazoa, Chordata, Mammalia, Primates, Cheirogaleidae.